UGUGAGGCUGGGGUAGGGCAGCUACGGGCAGAGGAACUGGGGACUGAGGAGCUGCAGAGACCUGAUGGGGAGGAUACAGGGAAGGAGAUGGAAAAAGAGGACAGAUUUGUGGCAUGACGGGAGGGAUCCAAACAGGCCUCUGGAGCCUUGGGGAGACACUGACUGCAGCAGCAUUUAUAGCUUUACUGUGAGCUUGCAGUCCUGGGGGAUUUGGGUUUUCUCCUGCGUGCUCCAUGGAUCACCAAACUCAAGAUACUCUGCCACUUUGUCUCCUGUGUCCUGAUGACAUCUUUAUAUUGAUUUCUCUCUUCCUGUGGAGAAGGAAGCAUCUAUGGGGAAUAUAUACCUAGGAAUAUGUUAGAAUGGUUUUCCCUUAACAGGAGAAGCCACUUUGUUUCUGUAAAGGAAGUAGCAAAACCUCAUUUGCUUCAUGCUCUAAUUUUUGAAGACUGCCUAGAUGAGCUGUGAAUGUGCCUUAGGUUCACUAAAGAAUUUUUGAAAGACUUGCAGGAUACCGAACAACUCCAGUGCUGCUGUUAAUGUUGAUGAAAUUGUACUGAGCAACACCAAAGCAUCCUGAGGGCAUGUGAUGUACAUGACUCUAUAGAAAUCACAAAUUAGUAUGUAAGUCCAAAGGUUGGUUUAAUAAAGUUGGUGCUCCCU
Molecule: long non-coding RNA, 663 nt
Organism: Parus major (Great Tit)
Lineage: Eukaryota; Metazoa; Chordata; Aves; Passeriformes; Paridae
Exons: 3
Source: RefSeq, a predicted model, not a curated record